UCCCUACGGGAGGCAGCAGUGAGGAAUAUUGGUCAAUGGGAGAGAUCCUGAACCAGCCAAGCCGCGUGAGGGAAGACGGCCCUAUGGGUUGUAAACCUCUUUUGUCGGAGAACAAAACCCGGGACGUGUCCCGGACUGCGUGUAUCCGAAGAAAAAGCAUCGGCUAACUCCGUGCCAGCAGCCGCGGUAAUACGGAGGAUGCGAGCGUUAUCCGGAUUUAUUGGGUUUAAAGGGUGCGCAGGCGGGAGGUCAAGUCAGCGGUAAAAUGUAGGGGCUCAACCCCGGCCGGCCGGUG
This 295-nucleotide ribosomal RNA is filed under the name uncultured bacterium. RNAcentral describes it as "partial 16S ribosomal RNA". It matches the Rfam family "Bacterial small subunit ribosomal RNA", at positions 335 to 629 of the family's 1533-position model. The record is from RNAcentral.